RNAcentral lists this long non-coding RNA (408 nucleotides) under Malus domestica (apple). RNAcentral's name for it is "long non-coding RNA (MDOM_LNC009621)". The record is from RNAcentral. Lineage: Eukaryota; Viridiplantae; Streptophyta; Magnoliopsida; Rosales; Rosaceae.
UAGCAGCUCAGCAGUACUAGUGAUGCCAUGCCCAUGCCACUAACGAGGGAAACCCGUCUUCCUCCACACCAUAGGCUGACCGCAUUUUCUUAGAAAAUGGAAGGGUUUCAUUCGGGAUAUAUGGAUUCUUUAGUGCUACUGAUGUCUUUCCUUUUUGUUACAAGUUUGAAAUAUGCGGUAAAUUCUGUGAUAUUUUUGUAACUAUCCUGGUAAAUUCUGCGACAUUCACCUCUCUCAGACCUUGCGUAAAGCGGGAGCCUUGUGCACUGGGUACGACCUUUUAUCCUGGUAAAACAAAAGGUAAAAGGUCAAGGUAGCUGAAUUUAUAAUUAUAUAACUUUUUUUUAAUCCUCUGCAGCUAGUUCGAAUCGAUUUAGUACAGAAUACCGUUAGUAUAAAAAUAAAGCG